Molecule: ribosomal RNA, 924 nt
Filed under: uncultured archaeon
Lineage: Archaea
Description: bacterial SSU rRNA
Rfam family: Archaeal small subunit ribosomal RNA
Source: RNAcentral
ACUGCUAUCGGGAUGAGACUUAGCCAUGCGAGUCGAGCGUUUCCUAGCUAUGUUGGAAACGCGGCAUACGGCUCCGUAACACGUAGUUAACCUACCCUUAGGAUGGGGACAACCCCGGGAAACUGGGGCUAAUACCCAAUAGAUGAGAUCUCCUGGAAUGGUUUCUCGUUGAAAAGACAUUAUGGACAUGCUCUUAAUGUUGCCUAAGGAUGGGACUGCGGCCGAUCAGGUUGUUGGUAGGGUAACGGCCUACCAAGCCUAUAACCGGUACGGGCCCUGAGAGGGGUAGCCCGGAGAUGGGAACUGAGACAAGGUCCCAGGCCCUACGGGGCGCAGCAGGCGCGAAAACUCCACAAUGCACGAAUGUGUGAUGGGGUUAUCCCGAGUGCUGUCCGCUGAGGAUAGCUUUUUCCUAGUGUAAGUAGCUAGGGGAGUAAGAGGGGGGCAAGACUGGUGUCAGCCGCCGCGGUAAUACCAGCCCCUCGAGUGGUAGGGACGAUUAUUUGGCCUAAAGCGUUCGUAGCCGGCUUAGCAAGUCCUCCGUGAAAUCCAACGACUUAAUCGUUGGGCGUGCGAAGGAUACUGUUAGGCUUGGGGACGGGAGAAGUCGACGGUACUCCCGGUGUAGGGGUGAAAUCCUAUAAUCCCGGGAGGACCACCAGUGGCGAAGGCGGUCGACUAGAACGUGCCUGACGGUGAUGGACGAAAGCUGGGGGAGCGAACCGGAUUAGAUACCCGGGUAGUCCCAGCCGUAAACGAUGCGGGCUAGGUGUUGGGGUAGCCAAGAGCUACCCCAGUGCCGCAGGGAAGCUCUUAAGCCCGCCGCCUGGGAAGUACGGUCGCAAGGCUGAAAUUCAAGAGGUGGAAAGCCUCUUGUACAGCAGACUUAAAGGAAUUGGCGGGGGAGCACCACAAGGGGUGAAG